RNAcentral lists this ribosomal RNA (607 nucleotides) under uncultured bacterium. Its description in RNAcentral is "bacterial SSU rRNA". It matches the Rfam family "Bacterial small subunit ribosomal RNA", at positions 338 to 946 of the family's 1533-position model. The record is from RNAcentral.
CCUACGGGAGGCAGCAGUAAGGAAUAUUGGUCAAUGGACGAAAGUCUGAACCAGCCAUGCCGCGUGAAGGAUGACGGCCCUCUGGGUUGUAAACUUCUUUUAUCUGGGACGAAAAAAGGGAAUUCUUUCUCACUUGACGGUACCAGAGGAAUAAGCACCGGCUAACUCCGUGCCAGCAGCCGCGGUAAUACGGAGGGUGCAAGCGUUAUCCGGAUUCACUGGGUUUAAAGGGAGCGUAGGUGGGCAGGUAAGUCAGUGGUGAAAUCUCCGGGCUUAACCCGGAAACUGCCAUUGAUACUAUUUGUCUUGAAUUAUCUGGAGGUAAGCGGAAUAUGUCAUGUAGCGGUGAAAUGCUUAGAUAUGACAUAGAACACCCAUUGCGAAGGCAGCUUACUACGGAUAUAUUGACACUGAGGCUCGAAAGCGUGGGGAUCAAACAGGAUUAGAUACCCUGGUAGUCCACGCCCUAAACGAUGGAUACUCGACAUCAGCGAUACACUGUUGGUGUCUGAGCGAAAGCAUUAAGUAUCCACCUGGGAAGUACGACCGCAAGGUUGAAACUCAAAGGAAUUGACGGCUGAGAGNGCGAGACGACGACGAGGAGAGG